GUGCCAGCCGCCGCGGUAAUACGAAGGUGGCAAGCGUUGUUCGGAAUCACUGGGCUUAAAGAGCACGUAGGCGGCCUCAUAAGCGCUUUGUGAAAUCCCUCGGCUCAACCGAGGAAUUGCUGGGCGAACUGUGAGGCUUGAGGCAAGUAGGGGUGCAUGGAACUCUUGGUGGAGCGGUGAAAUGCGUAGAUAUCAAGAGGAACGCCGGUGGCGAAAGCGGUGCACUGGGCUUGUCCUGACGCUGAGGUGCGAAAGCUAGGGGAGCAAACGGGAUUAGAUACCCUCGUAGUCC
RNAcentral lists this ribosomal RNA (292 nucleotides) under uncultured bacterium. RNAcentral describes it as "partial 16S ribosomal RNA". It matches the Rfam family "Bacterial small subunit ribosomal RNA", at positions 505 to 796 of the family's 1533-position model. The record is from RNAcentral.